Molecule: ribosomal RNA, 253 nt
Filed under: uncultured prokaryote
Description: partial 16S ribosomal RNA
Rfam family: Bacterial small subunit ribosomal RNA
Source: RNAcentral
UACAGAGGGUGCGAGCGUUGUUCGGAAUUAUUGGGCGUAAAGCGCUUGUAGGCGGCCUGUUAAGUUCCGUGUGAAAUCCCCUGGCUUAACCAGGGAAGUGCGCGGGAAACUGGCGGGCUUGAAUGCCGGAGAGGGUCGCGGAAUUCCCGGUGUAGAGGUGAAAUUCGUAGAUAUCGGGAGGAACACCAGUGGCGAAAGCGGCGCGCUGGACCAUAACUGACGCUGAGGCGCGAAAGCUAGGGGAGCAAACAGG